AGACGCCUGCCCUUUUACUCUUGGUGGGGCUUCGAGCAAACACAGCUGUCAGAUGGGGCUGCUGGGGCUGCAGGAUGGCACGUCCCUGUGGGGAAAGGUACACGCCCUUAGGAUACUUGGGGAGUCCCUUCCCUGGCUUGAGGCCUAAGGUGAGGUCAGGGCAGGGCACUGACCUGCUAAUGCCAGGUGACCGUGAGCCAGGAGAGUGGAAAGGCCAGAUCUUGCUGGGGCUUAAGCUGCAGGAGGGUAAGGGCAUCCUGGGGCGAGGGCUGCAAUGCUGCUGGGCCCCCAGGCCAGGUCUCCUCUGCUGGUCCCUGUCCUUCAGGACAAGGUCAGCUUGUGGGCCAAGCGAAUUCACCACCAGGCCCGGAUGCUCUUAUGUUAGAACACCUUGCUGGACACGUUGA
RNAcentral lists this long non-coding RNA (407 nucleotides) under Ictidomys tridecemlineatus (thirteen-lined ground squirrel). RNAcentral's name for it is "lncRNA (ENSSTOG00000034078.1)". Lineage: Eukaryota; Metazoa; Chordata; Mammalia; Rodentia; Sciuridae. The record is from RNAcentral.